UAAAAAUUCUGUCGCAUGGCGAACACAAAGCUGACAGACUGGACACUCGACCAGAAAACCCUAUCGGGGACGGCCUAUGCACUCGGGUGACGACGGGGCAACCCGGCAACUGACCGAACGCUACAUCGCGUUCUUGCGGAGCGAGCUGACUGCCUCAAUGCUGGAAUUGUACGGGGCCGCGGAUCUCCGCUACUUCGUCUUGCCCGAUCCCUUGUUGCAGUCAGCCCUCGAUCGACAGCCACCG
This 244-nucleotide unclassified non-coding RNA is filed under the name Hevea brasiliensis (rubber tree). The record is from RNAcentral. Lineage: Eukaryota; Viridiplantae; Streptophyta; Magnoliopsida; Malpighiales; Euphorbiaceae.